GCGCACUCUCGGAAGCGCAGCCGAACCCGCCCUCCGAAUCCAGAGAGGCGCUGCUGACACCGCCGCCACACCGCCGCCACACCGCCGCUGCCUCAGUCAUGCCGAAGCACGAGUUCUCUGUGGACAUGACCUGUGGAGGCUGUGCUGAAGCUGUCUCUCGGGUCCUCAAUAAGCUUGGAGGAUGCUGAUCCUCCCGCUGGCUUCCAGACAGACCUGGGACUUGGCAGUCAUGCCGGGUGAUGGUGUUCCUGCGGAGACCCUCAGUUGUCCUAUUCCUUCCUAGCUUCCCUGCAAUAAAAUCAAGCUGCUUUUGUUGG
This 317-nucleotide long non-coding RNA is filed under the name Homo sapiens (human). RNAcentral's name for it is "non-protein coding lnc-SPARC-2:2". The record is from RNAcentral. Lineage: Eukaryota; Metazoa; Chordata; Mammalia; Primates; Hominidae.